GUCUCCGUGGCGCAAUUGGUAUGUUCAACUUAACAUCUACAACAAUUCAAAUUUAAUACUAAUAUCAAAUUCAGGUUAGCGCGUCUGACUGUUAAUCAGGAGGUUGGAAGUUCGAGCCUUCCCGGGGACG
This is a non-coding RNA of Aspergillus nanangensis, 130 nucleotides long. The record is from the annotation of a GenBank genome assembly. Lineage: Eukaryota; Fungi; Ascomycota; Eurotiomycetes; Eurotiales; Aspergillaceae.